GAUGAACGCUGGCGGCGUGCCUAAUACAUGCAAGUCGAACGCUGGAAAUCUAGCUUGCUAGAUUGAAGGAGUGGCGAACGGGUGAGUAAUACAUAAGCAACCUACCCACGAAGACUGGGAUAAUCUCUGGAAACGGGGACUAAUACCGGAUAGGUAAUCGGAAGGCAUCUUCUGAUUAUUAAAGGUUAAAAACACUGGUGGAUGGGCUUAUGGCGCAUUAGUUAGUUGGUGAGGUAACGGCCCACCAAGACGAUGAUGCGUAGCCGGCCUGAGAGGGUGAACGGCCACAUUGGGACUGAGACACGGCCCAGACUCCUACGGGAGGCAGCAGUAGGAAUUUUCGGCAAUGGGGGAAACCCUGACCGAGCAACGCCGCGUGAGUGAUGACGGCCUUCGGGUUGUAAAGCUCUGUUGUAAGGGAAGAACGGUAGAUAGAGAAUAUCUAAAUGACGGUACCUUACCAGAAAGCCACGGCUAACUACGUG
RNAcentral lists this ribosomal RNA (485 nucleotides) under uncultured bacterium. Its description in RNAcentral is "partial 16S ribosomal RNA". It matches the Rfam family "Bacterial small subunit ribosomal RNA", at positions 28 to 507 of the family's 1533-position model. The record is from RNAcentral.